AACGAACGCUGGCGGCAGGCCUAACACAUGCAAGUCGAGCGCCCCGCCAGGGGAGCUGCGGCCCGGUGAUUAGCGCGUGGGAAUAUGCUCUUAGCUACGGAAUAGUCUUGUGAGACUGGGGUUAAUACCGUAUACGCCCUCUGGUGGCAAGAAUUAUCUGCGAAGGCUUAGACCGCGAGGGAUUAGGUAGUUGGUGGGGUAAUGGCCAAGGAAGCCGACGACCUAUAGCUGGUUUGAGAGUAAGAGCAGACACACUGGGGGUGGGAUACGGGCCAGACUCCUACGCGAGGGAGCAGUGGGGGAUCGUAGAAAAUGGGGGCAACGAUGAUGGAGCCAGGACGGGUGAGUGCUGAAGGCCGUAGGGAUGUAAAGCUCUUGCAGCUGGGAAGAUAAUGACGGUACCAGCAGAAGAAGCCACGGCUAACUCCGUG
Molecule: ribosomal RNA, 431 nt
Filed under: uncultured bacterium
Lineage: Bacteria
Description: partial 16S ribosomal RNA
Rfam family: Bacterial small subunit ribosomal RNA
Source: RNAcentral